Molecule: ribosomal RNA, 809 nt
Filed under: uncultured bacterium
Lineage: Bacteria
Description: bacterial SSU rRNA
Rfam family: Bacterial small subunit ribosomal RNA
Source: RNAcentral
GGAUUAGGCAUGCAAGUCGAACGAGAAAGGUUUCGCAAGAGACCGAGUAAAGUGGCGGAAGGGCGAGUAAUGCAUAGAUGACCUACCCUCGAGAUGGGGACAACCAUUCGAAAGGAUGGCUAAUACCCAAUAAGACCACGGGUCGCAUGGCCUGUGCUUAAAGAUGGGGACCCGCAAGGGCCUUUCGCUCGAUGAGGGGUUUAUGUCCUAUCAGCUUGUUGGUGGGGUAACGGCCCACCAAGGCUAUGACGGGUAGCCGACCUGAGAGGGUGACCGGCCGCACUGGGACUGAGACACUGCCCAGACUCCUACGGGAGGCUGCAGUCGAGGAUCUUCCGCAAUGCGCGAAAGCGUGACGGAGCGACGCCGCGUGGGUGAUGAAGGCCUUCGGGUUGUAAAGCCCUGUCGACUGGGAAGAAUGGCGGGAGGUGAAUAGCCAUCUCGUCUGACGCUACCAGUAAAGGAAGCACCGGCUAAAUACGUGCCAGCAGCCGCGGUAAUACGUAUGGUGCGAACGUUGUUCGGAAUCACUGGGCAUAAAGAGCACGUAGGCGGUCGGGCAAGUCCAUUGUGAAAUCCCCCGGCUUAACCGGGGAACUGCAAUGGAUACUACUCGGCUUGAGUGUAGAAGGGGAGAGUGGAAUUCCUGGUGGAGCGGUGAAAUGCGUAGAUAUCAGGAGGAACGCCGGCGGCGAAAGCGACUCUCUGGUCUACAACUGACGCUGAGGUGCGAAAGCUAGGGGAGCAAACGGGAUUAGAUACCCCGGUAGUCCUAGCCCUAAACGAUGGGCACUAAGUAGAGGGGUUUU